RNAcentral lists this ribosomal RNA (253 nucleotides) under uncultured bacterium. Its description in RNAcentral is "partial 16S ribosomal RNA". It matches the Rfam family "Bacterial small subunit ribosomal RNA", at positions 524 to 776 of the family's 1533-position model. The record is from RNAcentral.
UACGGAGGGGGCUAGCGUUGUUCGGAAUUACUGGGCGUAAAGCGCACGUAGGCGGCUUUGUAAGUUAGAGGUGAAAGCCCGGGGCUCAACCCCGGAAUUGCCUUUAAGACUGCAUCGCUUGAAUCCAGGAGAGGUGAGUGGAAUUCCGAGUGUAGAGGUGAAAUUCGUAGAUAUUCGGAAGAACACCAGUGGCGAAGGCGGCUUACUGGUCCGGUACUGACGCUGCGGUGCGAAAGCGUGGGGAGCAAACAGG